AGAGUUUGAUCCUGGCUCAGAACGAACGCUGGCGGCGUGGAUAAGACAUGCAAGUCGAACGCUGAUUUCAGGGUAGCAAUAUUCUGAAGUCGGAGUGGCGCAAGGGUGCGUAACACGUGGGCAAUUCUGCCGUGAAGUCUGGAAUAACUUGCUGAAAGGCGAGCUAAUGCCGGAUGUGACAAUUGGGAGGCAUCUCCUGAUUUUCAAAGUUGGGGACCGCAAGGCCUGACGCUUCACGAUGAACCCGCGGCCUAUCAGCUAGUUGGUGAGGUAACGGCUCACCAAGGCUAAGACGGGUAGCUGGUCUGAGAGGACGACCAGCCACACUGGAACUGAGACACGGUCCAGACACCUACGGGUGGCAGCAGUCGAGAAUUUUUCACAAUGGGCGAAAGCCUGAUGGAGCGACGCCGCGUGGGGGAUGAAUGGCUUCGGCCCGUAAACCCCUGUCAUUUGCGAACAAAUUGGUUCACUUAAUACAUGAACC
Molecule: ribosomal RNA, 487 nt
Filed under: uncultured Verrucomicrobiota bacterium
Lineage: Bacteria; Pseudomonadati; Verrucomicrobiota
Description: bacterial SSU rRNA
Rfam family: Bacterial small subunit ribosomal RNA
Source: RNAcentral